Molecule: ribosomal RNA, 492 nt
Filed under: uncultured bacterium
Lineage: Bacteria
Description: partial 16S ribosomal RNA
Rfam family: Bacterial small subunit ribosomal RNA
Source: RNAcentral
AGUGAACGCUGGCGGUAGGCCUAACACAUGCAAGUCGAACGGCAGCACAGUAAGAGCUUGCUCUUACGGGUGGCGAGUGGCGGACGGGUGAGGAAUACAUCGGAAUCUACUUUUUCGUGGGGGGUAACGUAGGGAAACUUACGCUAAUACCGCAUACGACCUACGGGUGAAAGCAGGGGAUCUUCGGACCUUGCGCGAUUGAAUGAGCCGAUGUCGGAUUAGCUAGUUGGCGGGGUAAAGGCCCACCAAGGCGACGAUCCGUAGCUGGUCUGAGAGGAUGAUCAGCCACACUGGAACUGAGACACGGUCCAGACUCCUACGGGAGGCAGCAGUGGGGAAUGUUGGACAAUGGGCGCAAGCCUGAUCCAGCCAUACCGCGUGGGUGAAGAAGGCCUUCGGGUUGUAAAGCCCUUUUGUUGGGAAAGAAAAGCAGCAGGUUAAUACCCCGCUGUUCUGACGGUACCCAAAGAAUAAGCACCGGCUAACUUCGUG